GCAUGAACAGCACUCAUCCUGCAAGCUUCAAGCUGACAGGAUGAAGCUAGCACAGACAUUCUCUCUACAUAAUGGGGCUGAAGACGCAUGUGGAACUGUUUCUGACAUGUUCCUGGAGAAAGCAGAAGUUCGAAAACAAUGGGAAAGAAAGAGCUAAAAGAAGGAAG
Molecule: long non-coding RNA, 167 nt
Filed under: Cercocebus atys (sooty mangabey)
Lineage: Eukaryota; Metazoa; Chordata; Mammalia; Primates; Cercopithecidae
Description: lncRNA (ENSCATG00000045449.1)
Source: RNAcentral